This 350-nucleotide ribosomal RNA is filed under the name uncultured bacterium. RNAcentral's name for it is "bacterial SSU rRNA". It matches the Rfam family "Bacterial small subunit ribosomal RNA", at positions 32 to 359 of the family's 1533-position model. The record is from RNAcentral.
AAUCAACGCUGGCGGCGUGCCUCAGACAUGCAAGUCGAACGAGAAAGUUUCCUUCGGGGAAUGAGUAAAGUGGCGCACGGGUGAGUAACACGUAGGUAAUCUACCUUCGGGUGGGGAAUAACCCAGGGAACUUGGGCUAACACCGCAUAAUGCAGCGGCACCACAUGGUGACAGUUGUUAAAGCGGGGGAGUUUUAGGUACCGUCGCGCCUGAAGAGGAGCCUGCGGCGGAUUAGCAGUUGGUAAGGUAACGGCUUACCAAGGCGACGAUCCGUAACCGGCCUGAGAGGGCGGGUCGGUCACACUGACACUGACAUACGGGUCAGACUCCUACGGGAGGCAGCAGUCGGG